CCAUGAAGCUGGAUUCGCUAGUAAUCGCGCAUCAGCCACGGCGCGGUGAAUACGUUCCCGGGCCUUGUACACACCGCCCGUCAAGCCAUGGAAGCCGGGAGUGCCUGAAGUGCGUAACCGCGAGGAGCGCCCUAGGGUAAAACUGGUGAUUGGGGCUAAGUCGUAACAAGGUAAC
This 175-nucleotide ribosomal RNA is filed under the name uncultured bacterium. RNAcentral describes it as "partial 16S ribosomal RNA". It matches the Rfam family "Bacterial small subunit ribosomal RNA", at positions 1318 to 1500 of the family's 1533-position model. The record is from RNAcentral.